GAAUUUACAAGAACUGAGCAGGACUGCCAAGGACAGAGGGAAUCCAUUCACAGGGUCACCAGAGAUGACUUGAUAGCACAGAACCACAAAAACAAAAGCCUCUGUAUUGUCCUGAGACAAGUGAUUCGAAAAAGUAGAUACUUCCAUCACCUUUGUGAAUGUCUGUAACAUGCCUCAUUGAAUGAUGUGUCCUAAAUUAAGAAUAUCAUUACUUCUGUUUUAGUGGAAUUUUAUGAAGCUAACGUUAAUGCCAUCACAUGUCUGAACCCACAAGAGACAUUUUGACGGCCUGCACUGGGGACAAAACUGGUAUUUAAAAGGAAGGAACAUCAAAAUAAUUAUGCUGGGGGAAAAGGAAAUGCUUAAGUGUUCUAUUUCUCUGUCAGUCUUGAAGGUAUCUAACCAUUUAUUUCCCUGAAGGAAUUCUUCAAACUGAGAUAUUUCAGCAUUUUUGAAGUUGCUAAUUGCUAAGUUUAUUUGGCAAGUAUUAUUUUAGAUAAAGUCAUAAAAACUAGAAAGUCACAUAGUUUAGGGUGUCACAUCAUUGGCCUGGUUUAGGCUGUAAUCCCAUGCACAUUUAUCUGGAAGUGAGCCCCACAAAAGUCAACAAAGCGCAUCUUCUGCAGGUACAGAUUGAAUUGGAUUUGUUGGGCUCUAUAGCAGGGGCACAACACACCUCUUGCUCCUCUCCUGCAAAUGAUCCUUUGGUGUUCUAUGUAACAAGGUGGGGUGGACAAACCAUGUAAAUCAGGGCUAUUCAUGAUAGGCAUCCAUCCUGAAUGUUCAGAUCGGGUUGGUCCCUUCUAUAUUGCCUCAAAGAGGACAUGCAUCACCAGGCAGAGGCACAGAAGAGGGCAAUUUGUGAUGCUUACUUGUGAUGCUUCCUCACUGUCAGAGCAAUACGGCAGUGGAACCAGCUGCCUAGAGAGGUGGUGGGCUCUCCCACACUAGAGAAAUUCAAAAGAAACUGGAUAGCCAUCUGAGUGGGAUGGUGUAACUUGGUGUCCUGCAACAGCAGGGGGCUGGGCUUGAUGGCCUUCAUAUCCCCUUCCAACUCUACUAUUCUAUGAUUCUCUGAACAAAUGGAAAUUUAGAGGGCUUUACUACAUUCAUUCAUUCAUUCAUUCAUUCAUUCAUUCAAUGAGGGAGGGAGCAACUGUCAUCUGUGCACCUUCUAAACCUGUUAUCCUGGUGCCAAAUGUUGAUAAGCAACUUUGAUCUGUUUCUUGAUUGUUCAACUGGUUCUCAACUAAAUAGGUCACACGGCCACCCUGUGCUGAUGCCUCUUGAGAUUAUCUGCCUACUGCAGGACAAGGGAUGCCAAGAUUCUCACUGGUAGGAGUGCCAACAUGUUCUCAUAGAACUUGGGGCUGAGCAGCCUUUCUGUUGAGGACUGCAUUGCCUUGUGGGUAAUUUGUUGGGGGAGGCACAAGUUGGCAAGGGGUAGGGUAGAAAUCAAAAAGGCGCAGGCCUAGUGUCCAAAGUGGAGAGGUCCGCCCUUCUCUCCUUCCACUAUUGCCUUUUCUAUUUCCUGUCUUUCUUCCUAUUCAGGGGGCUGCCAAGAAAGGGUCAGAUAUUUCUUUCCAGAGGACUACUGAAAUUAAAAUGAUGGCUGCAUGAAAAUAGGAAGUCUCCCACUUGCUAUCUACUACUCACUAACUAGCCUGAACUCAGUUGAAUCUGUCGCCUGUUUCCUCUCUCCGCCAUGAGGACCCUCGCAUUAUACUGGCCUCACCACUAAUUCAUAUUCUCUAGGGUGCACACUUAUGAAUCACCAAAAUUGAGGAUAAAGAGAAUGUGGAUGCGCCUAAAACUUACUUGUGCCACGUUAUAGAAUGCACUUGUUCAUUUCAGUACAGCAGUAAAGAGACCAGGCAGCCAGUCAUGUGAGAUGUGCAACAGCUAAAGAACCGAGCAAAAAAUGAGCAGCAGCGCUAUCCUCUAAAUCAGAAUAGGCUACAAACAGUUGCAUCUCUGUCCUUGGUGCUUGGAUCAAGACUAGCCAGCUCUCGAGUUUUGUACCGCAACCAACAUGCUCCCACCUCUCCUCCGCCCUGCCCUGUUGGCAUGGUGUUCCCAUGGCAUCAUUUGACUGGAUGGUGCUGGUGAUUCAGCCAGAAUUGGGGAAAAAGCGGAACGGCCAAGAUCAGCAGUCAAGCAAAUGUCCAGGAAGAAUUGCUGUCUUGCUACCUGAGGAUCACUCCCACUUUGCACUCAUGGUCCUGAGUUACUUGUCUGAGUUUGCAUUUUCUGUGUCAUGAUUUGCUGAAGGAGCAUUAAAAUGUGCAUUCAAAGAA
Molecule: long non-coding RNA, 2297 nt
Organism: Varanus komodoensis (Komodo dragon)
Lineage: Eukaryota; Metazoa; Chordata; Lepidosauria; Squamata; Varanidae
Exons: 2
Source: RefSeq, a predicted model, not a curated record